AGUGAACGCUGGCGGUAGGCCUAACACAUGCAAGUCGAACGGCAGCACAGUAAGAGCUUGCUCUUACGGGUGGCGAGUGGCGGACGGGUGAGGAAUACAUCGGAAUCUACUUUUUCGUGGGGGAUACCGUAGGGAAACUUACGCUACUACCGCAUACGACCUACGGGUGAAAGCAGGGGAUCUUCGGACCUUGCGCGAUUGACUGAGCCGAUGUCGGAUUAGCUAGUUGGCGGGGUAAAGGCCUACCAAGGCGACGAUCCGUAGCUGGUCUGAGAGGAUGACCAGCCACACUGGAACUGAGACACGGUCCAGACUCCUACGGGAGGCAGCAGUGGGGAAUAUUGGACAAUGGGCGAAAGCCUGAUCCAGCCAUACCGCGUGUGUGAAGAAGGCCUUCGGGUUGUAAAGCCCUUUUGUUGGGAAAGAAAAGCAGCAGGUUAAUACCCCGCUGUUAUGACGGUACCCAAAGAAUAAGCACCGGCUAACUUCGUG
Molecule: ribosomal RNA, 492 nt
Filed under: uncultured bacterium
Lineage: Bacteria
Description: partial 16S ribosomal RNA
Rfam family: Bacterial small subunit ribosomal RNA
Source: RNAcentral